RNAcentral lists this ribosomal RNA (253 nucleotides) under uncultured bacterium. RNAcentral's name for it is "partial 16S ribosomal RNA". It matches the Rfam family "Bacterial small subunit ribosomal RNA", at positions 524 to 776 of the family's 1533-position model. The record is from RNAcentral.
GACGAACCGUCCAAACGUUAUUCGGAAUCACUGGGCUUACAGAGUUCGUAGGCGGUCCGGUAAGUUAGGUGUGAAAUCCCUCGGCUCAACCGAGGAACUGCGCUUGAUACUGCCGGACUCGAGGGAGAUAGAGGAAAGCGGAACUGAUGGUGGAGCGGCGAAAUGCGUUGAUAUCAUCAGGAACACCGGUGGCGAAGGCGGCUUUCUGGGUCUCUUCUGACGCUGAGGAACGAAAGCUAGGGUAGCGAACGGG